AAUUAUUUUAAUCUGUACGGUUUACAAUGAUGAGAUUGGAAAUUGUGACCAUCCAUCCAUCCAUCCCCUUGGUGUGAAUAAGAGGGGAAAGAAAAACGCUCAUGAGAGAGUGUAGGGCUUUUUUCCCAUCCAAAUGGUCCUAUAUCAUCUAACUACAAUGAUUUUGCUCCUGCCCUUUGCUGGGCCCACAUGUGCAAUUUUUUUAAUAUAGAAAAUCAGUUGCUCUUUUAGUGCAGAGCAUAUAAUAAUUUGCCAAUUCAUCGGUUUGGACUGCAAGCUAUUGCUGUAAAACCAUGCAGCUAAGCUAUUGUUGCAAGUGCACCUGCAAGAAAAGGCAAAAGAUGAUGAAAAAAUUGUUUUGUAAGGCAUUGAGGAAGAAUUAGAGCGGUGAGUAGAAAUGAAAAAGGAGAUUCCCUAAUUAAGGAAUUGAUGUGUUGGUUAAAGUUGCAGAAAUAUAGGGACACUUUUCGAUAUUACCAUAAUACUGAAAUGGAACAAAAGUUGGGAAUCUACAAGUCAUUUAAGAGAGAGAGAGAGAGAAGCAGCCUGAGGAAAUGACCAGAAGAGCCCUCCACUUGGUCACCAUCAUUUGAGGUCAUAGAUGCAGCAGGAGCAGCAGCAGCUCUUUUUUUUUUUUUUUAGGAAUUUAUAAAAACUGAAUCCA
Molecule: unclassified non-coding RNA, 664 nt
Filed under: Hevea brasiliensis (rubber tree)
Lineage: Eukaryota; Viridiplantae; Streptophyta; Magnoliopsida; Malpighiales; Euphorbiaceae
Source: RNAcentral